Small nucleolar RNA from Dioscorea cayenensis subsp. rotundata (Guinea yam), 107 nucleotides. Lineage: Eukaryota; Viridiplantae; Streptophyta; Magnoliopsida; Dioscoreales; Dioscoreaceae. The record is from RefSeq and is a predicted model, not a curated record.
AACCCAUGCUGAGGGCAUUUCUGUAGAAGCUCCUUGAACCUAUCCUAUGUCUCAAAAGGAGACUCCAAUUUUGUUUGCACAAAACAAGAUAUUUCAUUCCUAAGCUU